Molecule: unclassified non-coding RNA, 366 nt
Filed under: uncultured bacterium
Lineage: Bacteria
Description: contains 16S-23S intergenic spacer region
Source: RNAcentral
UCCCCGUUACCGAGGCAGUAUCGCUAGAGAAAUUCAACUAGCGAGAAGGGUUGCGCUCGUUUAGGGACUUAACCCGACAUCUCACGACACGAGCUGACGACGGCCAUGCAUCACCUGUCACUGGUCCAGCCGAACUGACCUCUUAGUUUCCUAAAAGUACGACCAGGAUGUCAAACCUGGGUAAGGUUCUUCGCGUACCCUCGAAUUAAACCACACGCUCCACCGCUUGUGCGGGUCCCCGUCAAUUCCUUUGAGUUUUAGCCUUGCGGCCGUACUCCCCAGGCGGGAUGCUUAACGCGUUUGCUUCGCUACCGAACGGGUCGAUACGUCCAACAGCUAGCAUCCAUUGUUUACGGCGUGGACUAC